GAUGAACGCUGACAGAAUGCUUAACACAUGCAAGUCGAGGGGCAGCAUGAUCUUAGCUUGCUAAGGUCGAUGGCGACCGGCGCACGGGUGCGUAACGCGUAUGCAACUUGCCUUACAGAGGGGGAUAACCCGUUGAAAGACGGACUAAAACCGCAUACACUUGUAUUAUUGCAUGAUAUUACAAGGAAAUAUUUAUAGCUGUAAGAUAGGCAUGCGUCCCAUUAGCUGGUUGGUGAGGUAACGGCUCACCAAGGCGACGAUGGGUAGGGGAACUGAGAGGUUUAUCCCCCACACUGGUACUGAGACACGGACCAGACUCCUACGGGAGGCAGCAGUGAGGAAUAUUGGUCAAUGGGCGAGAGCCUGAACCAGCCAAGUCGCGUGAAGGAAGACAGUCCUAAGGAUUGUAAACUUCUUUUAUACGGGAAUAACGGGCGAUACGAGUAUUGCAUUGAAUGUACCGUAAGAAUAAGCAUCGGCUAACUCCGUGCCAGCAGCCGCGGUAAUACGGAGGAUGCGAGCGUUAUCCGGAUUUAUUGGGUUUAAAGGGUGCGUAGGUUGUUCGGUAAGUCAGCGGUGAAACCUGAGCGCUCAACGUUCAGCCUGCCGUUGAAACUGCCGGGCUUGAGUUCAGUGGCGGCAGGCGGAAUUCGUGGUGUAGCGGUGAAAUGCAUAGAUAUCACGAGGAACUCCGAUUGCGGAGGCAGCUUGCCAUACUGCGACUGACACUGAAGCACGAAGGCGUGGGUAUCAAACAGG
Molecule: ribosomal RNA, 759 nt
Filed under: uncultured Porphyromonas sp.
Lineage: Bacteria; Pseudomonadati; Bacteroidota; Bacteroidia; Bacteroidales; Porphyromonadaceae
Description: bacterial SSU rRNA
Rfam family: Bacterial small subunit ribosomal RNA
Source: RNAcentral